Molecule: long non-coding RNA, 6868 nt
Filed under: Homo sapiens (human)
Lineage: Eukaryota; Metazoa; Chordata; Mammalia; Primates; Hominidae
Description: HSALNT0383857
Source: RNAcentral
GAAGGAGACAGGGAUGUGUCACAUCCUUCCAUUUCACACAUUCCAAGAGAGACACAGAGUAGGCACUGGACUCAUCUGCACCCACACCAGGCGGGCAGUCACUUUCCACCAGUGCGCCUCAGGGCAGCAAAUCUCUUAGAAAGGCCGGGGCUACUCCUAAAGAAGUGCAGCUCUGACUCCGCAGAGCCAUAUCUACCAUCCCUGCAGCAAAGAAAGGAAUGUGCCACCCAGAGGCAGGGCCUGUGGCACCAAGUAAGGCUGCGUGUCACCUGGACCACAUGGGCUGCCUCUGCUUCUGCCAGCUUCUUGCAGGGCGAGCAGCAGGGAGCUGCCUUCUCCUUGAGGCCACCAAGGCCUCCUUCAGAGGCAGGACCUGGUGCCCCCGCCCUUUUCUCGGUGCUGCUUAACAUGACAGCAGUGGGGGCAUGGCAAGCAUCUGUGCACUGCCCCCUGCCUGCCACCCCCCCCACCAGGCAGAGUGUUCCAUAAGGAUGGGCUCCCAGCCCACCAGCAUCCCCGUGGCACUAGCCUGGCACAGGGAAGGGCUCAGUCUCCUUCAUCUUGGUGGCCCUGUGACUCCACCUGGCUCCUGCUCCAAGUGGAUGACAUGUGUUUGCUGAACUAAUUCUGGAAGAAAUCGCUUCCUACUCAACCCUCUUCUGGAGGCCUGUCUCAGCCUGCUGAGCCCUCAUCCCAGCUUACAUCUAUCGAGAUGCCUGUGGUUCAGCUGACGUUGACAGGGUCCUCAGGGUGCCCCCCACCCCCUCAAUGAAGCAUGAGCUCUUCUACACCCGCCAGAGGUCACCGGGCAGAGGCCAAAGUUGCAGGGACCUUGCUGAAUGCUGGGCCCACCCCAGACCGCCCCGGGGCACCUCCCAGGGCAGAGCCAGGAACAGAGUGCAGCUCCGCAGCCUAGACACCGCGUCGGCUGUGGUGGGGGUGGGAAGAGGUCUGCAGAACAAAGCUGGAGUCAGGGCAGAGCAGGGAGCUGGGCCUCAUGCCAGUGAGGGGGCAGGGCAGAAAGCCUCCUUGUGGGGAGCUGGGGGAGCUCAGGAGGCUGGCUGUGCAGGGCAAUGGAGUGGAGACCCGUAGCUCACUGUCCAGGACAACAUGCUCUAAGAAAGCGUAUCGAAAUCCAUCCCCAGGACUUUAGGGAAAGAAGGCAGCCAAGGCAAACAGGCUCCAGGUCUCUAUCUGCAGUCCUGGCUCAGGCCCCGGCCAGGGCGGUGAGUGCCACGUCCCGGCUGGGUGUGAACGUGGGUGCGCGUGCAAGAAUGCAGGCUUCGCGCUGGCGGCCUUGGAGGGGGCAGACACCCUGCCCAGGAGGCCCUGCACAGAGCAGGCUUUAUUCCCUCUGGUCGUGCAGGAGGUGGUGCCCUGGCUGGGGGCUCUCGCCAGCGGUGGCCUCAAUAACACUUUGUGUCGUGUUCUCCUGCGCUCUGGUACGGGCCUGGUCCCAAGCUGCGUAGCCUCGCUGUGGGGCCAUGGUCAUAAAUGACUCUAAGGUUCAUUUCAUACCUGUUUUUUUUUUUUUUAAAUGAAACUGAAGAAGGGUGAAGAGAAGAGUUCAUGUAUUUUGCGACCAUCCAGAAGUAAUAAUAAUACUCAUUUACCAAGCACACCGGCCUAGACCUUUGGGUAUGCUAGGCCUUCUGUCUCUUCUUAUACCUGUUUUGUAGAUGGGCAAACUGGAAUUGGAUGAUGACAGUCACAUUUUAACAAAGCAACACCAGUAAAGGCUUCUUGUGCAUUUAGUGAGGGCGCCUAUGCACAGACAGGCCCCUCAGGGUGGAUGAAACCAGAGCUGGCUGAGCCGUGCCUGAAUCCUGUGGGCGGAGGAGCCCGGAAAAGCCAGGGAGCUGCCCCCCACUGAGGGGCAGCUUCUCAAAGGAGGGGACAAGGCCCCGGGUCUUGAGAACUGAAUCGGAGGCCGUCUGGGAAGAGGUCACCCUUCCUGCCAACAGUGUGAAGGACCCCAACCCUGACAGAGACCAGACCCUGGGAUCUGGAAUGUGUAUCCUGAGUGCAUUCUGCCACUGCCUCUUAGCCACCUUCCCUGAUGCUGUCUGGGAUGCAGGCAUUGCAUGCAGUUCACGUCGGAAGAUUCCACACUGCAAUCCAGAGACCAAAAGGAGCCCAUUGCGAUCUGGCUCUGGGGGACCCUGGGAUGAUAUCCCUACCCCCAGGGACAGGAACCAACCCCCGGGGACCUGGAGAGACUCUGUGCCCUGCAGGACCGAUGGGGGACUCCUCCCUGUAUGUACGUGUGCGUGGCCCUGCCUUGUUCUUGCCCCGGACCUGGCCUGGUGAAGGAGGCACGAGGAAGAUUGCAGUCAGGGACGCUCAGCCUGGGAGCUGACCCUCAGAUCCAGGGAUCCCAGCAGCCUUAGAAAGCUGAUGAUGCCAGGAGCGGGGACUUGCCUGGGGCUCAAGGGAACCAUUAUGCCUGUGCUGAGAUGAAACGUGUCCCACUAUUCCUGGAUGUGUACAGAACCCGACACCAUGGCUAUGAGUACCUACCACGAAGAAACAGUAACAAUAACUGGACUGUCAAUACUGGAUGUCUUGGGAGCUUAAGAGACACUGUUCUGAGUAUUUUACAUGUAUUUGUCAGUGGCUGUUCCCAUGCAGGAGGCCCUGGGACAUGCCUGCUACUGUUUCUUUCUGCUGGUCUGAAUAUUUUACAUGUAUUAUCUAAUUUAAUCCUCACAACAACUAUCAUACUUAUGGUAAUUAUAUUAUACCCAUUAUGCAGACGAGAAAGAAGGUAGUUGGGAUUCAUACUUGUGCGUCCCAACUUCAUAUUCUAACCUGCUGUGCCAUAAGCCUUGGUGAGGACCUGGCCGUGAUCACACUGAUGGUCUUGUUCAGGCCAACACACACACACACACACAUUAUAAAUACGUGUACGUUUUAUACAUAUAAAAACUGACUUCAUAUAGAUAACUGACUUUCUUUUACUGAGUACUCGUAUCUCCUCACUCCUCUAACCUGCGAUAAAACAAUCUGAAAGUUGUCAGAUCCGGCAAUGUUGUAAACACACAGGCUGCCUUACUCUGAACGUUCUCAUGGACCAAAGUUAAGGACACCGCUGGGCCAUGUUAUGAGGGGCUGUGGAAUUUUGAAUUCCUCUUUGGGGUUUUAUUUUGUAAGGAACCCAGAGAGCUGGAGCAGCAAGAAAGACUUGAGGCCCCUCCCAUACCUAGUGGGAGGUGGGUGGGGCCUCAGGCAAAGGUGGGGCCAGUGGCUGGUUCCCAGGUGGCCGGGUCUCUGGCCUCACUGUGCAGGAUCCAGGCCUGCUCCCCAGAAGUCUCCAGGUGACACCCCUGUAGAGAUCUGGAGCUGAGGACGCAGAGUGGCGACGUGUUCUCUGGGUGCUGCAUGGCAACAUUCUGUGGAUUUGGAUCCUGUGGAUUUGGAUCCUGGAUACAGCUUCAUUGCCAAUAUCAGCAUCAAACCCAGGAAGCGGCUGAUAUGGAAACUAGUACUCAGAGGCCUGAGGACCAAGCUGGUUUAGGGCAGAGCAUCAUGGCAGGUCUCACCCCUCGUGUGCUCCCCCAGCCUGGCCCUCGUAGGGGUCCCACCCCGAGGGGAGGCGUUCAGUUCAGCUACUUCAGAAGAUAUAUCCUGGCAAUGGGUAGCACAGAGGAGAGUAGGAGGAAAGAAGAAGCCAACACUACACUUGGUUUUGAUGAAAACCAAGCCUCAAAAGUGAGAAUUUGAAGGAAGAAAAGUUAAGUAAUAGCUCAUAAAGAGUCUGCACAAAUCCCCCGACAAGAGCACCCUGCUUGUAAGGAUAGGGGGCCUCACUCCCUCUCCCCUGCCUUCCAUGGGCCAAAUGCCAGGGCCAGAGCACAUGCUGUGGGGAGGCAGAGAAGUGUGCUGCCCAAUGCUCAAGGGCUGACAGCAUAACUGAGGGUCCGGGCAGGUGGGUAAGAGGUAACAAGUAGGGGAGUGUAAGGGCAGUAAAAGCCACAGGAGGAUGGUGGCAGAGCUCUCGGAGGGGCAGUAGGCUUCUCAGAGGCCCCUGGGCUGCAGCAGAGCAGGUGGCUGGGCAUCCUUGAUCACAUGAGAGGAGGUGGCAUGGGGUCAGAGGUCCUCAGCGAGGGGUCAGGGGUGACGAAGACUGAGGAGGACCCCUGUCUGCCCAGAAGACAAUGGGGUGACACCUUUAAAAAGACUGACAGAAAAAUGACCCAGAAUUCUACAUCGAAGAAAAUUAUCCAGCAAAAAAUUAGAGUGUUAAUAAAGACAUUUUCAUAUAAACAAAAGUCUUGUCUAAAAAAGAGAAUUUGUUUCCAUCAGACUUAGACUUUAAGACAUGCUACACGUAAUUCUUCAGGAUGAAAAGAGAUUAUACCAGAUGGAAAGAAGUGAAGAGCACCAGAAACAAUCAACAUUUUUCCCUUAAUUUCUUAAAAGACUAUUGAUUGUUUAAUUAUUCAAAGCAAAAGUAAUAACACUAUAUUAUGGGGUUCAUUACAUAUAUUGUAGUCCUCCCUUAUCUGCAGUUUCUUUUUCAUGGUUUCAAUUACUGGUCCAAAAAUAUCAAGAUAUUUAGAAAGAGAGAGAGAGAGACCACAUUUAUGUAACUUCUGUGACAGUAUAUCAUAAUUAUACUGUUUUGUUGUUAUUGUUGUUAAUUUCUAUGUGUUGUUAAUCACUUACUGGUUUACAAUUAAACUUCAUCAUAGGUAUGUAGAUAAAGGAAAAGGCAUAGUAUAUGUAGGGCUCAAUACUAUCGCAGUUUUAGGCAUCCACGGGGGUCUGGAAAUCCACCAGCUGUGGAUAAGGGGGACUACUGUAUAGAAGAAACGUGGAUGACAGCAAGAGUACAGAGGGUGCUGGGAGGAGUAAUGUCCUGGUAUCGUGCUAAGGUUUUUGCAUUUAAUUCAAGGUGGUAUAAUAUUAAUUACAAGUAGAUUGUGAUAAGGUAAGGAUGCAUAUUCUAAUCCCAAGAGUAACCACUAAAACACAGUACCAGGAAGAAUGGCCAAAAACCCAACAGAGAGCAUGAAAAUACUAAAAUAAAAUUUAACUCAAAAGAAGGCAGGAAAGAAUGAACAAAAUAACAAAAUCAGAUGGUAUAAAUACAAAAUAAAUAGAGAAAUAGUAGGCUUAAACCCAACCAUAUAAUUAAUUAUGAUAAAUGUGAAUGAAUCAAAUAUUCCUAUUAAAAGGCAGAGAUUAUCAGAUUGGAUAAUGUGCUGUCAGCAAGAGAUUCCUUUUUUAUAGAGAUCAUAACCUGCUACUAGAAGAAUAGGGAAAAAACCCAGGUAGAACUAAAAGAGCUGGUGUGGCUAUUUUAACAUCAGACAAAAUAGACUUCAAGAAAAGGAGUAUUACCAGUGAUAAAGAGAAACAUUGUAUAAUGAAAAAAGGGUCACUUCAUUACACAGGCAUGACACCAAUGUGUAUAUGUAACCAAUAAUGGCUUCAAAAUAUAUAAAAUAAAGCCUGUCAGAACUGGAGAGAGAGGUAGACUUAUCAUUAGAUAUUUUACCAUCUCUCUCUUAGUAAUUGAUAGAAUGAGUAGGAAAAAAAUCAGUGAGAAUACGGAAGAUUUGAACACGUUGUUUACCACUCUGAGCUAAUUAAGGUUUAUAAGAUACUACAGCCACAACACAGAAAACUCGUUUCUUGUGUGCACUCCAGACUUUCACUGGGAAAGAUCACACAUUGGCCCAUAAAAUAAGUCUCAGUGAAUUUCAAAAUACAGAAAUCUUAGAAUAUAUUCUCUGACCAAAAUAAUAUAAGAUAUAUUAGAAAAUCUUUCGAACUAAAUGAUAAAAACACAACAUAGCAAAAUUAGUUGUAUUUGUCAUAUAAAGCAGUGCUUAGAAAGUUAUGGCUUUAAAUGCUUACAUAGAAAAUAGGAAAGGCUUAAAAUAAAUGACCUAAGCUUCUACCUUAAGAAGGAAGAACAAGAAGCACAAAUUAAACCCAAAGUUAGCUGAAGGAAGACAAUAAUAAAGAGCAGUAAUAGAUGAAAUAAAAGAGAAAAAUAAUAGAAGAAAUCAGCAAUGGCAACGGUUCGUUCUUUAAAACGGUUCCAAAAAUUUGAUAAACACUUAGCAAGACUGAUCAAGAAAGAAUGAGAGAAAAGACAUAUUAUUAAUAUCAGGAGAGAGAGCAUAUCACUACACAUUCCAGAGAUAUUUUAAAUAUCUUUAUAUUAAUAUAUUCUGCACCAUAGAUGAAAUGAAAAAAUUUAUUGAAAAAAAAAUAACUUACCAAAACUGACACAAGAAUAGAAAAUUUUAAUAACCCUAUAGCUAAUAAAUAGAUUGAAUUUGUAAUUAAAAAUCCUCUUGUGAAGUAAACUCCAGGCUAUAAAUUCUAUCAAACUGUUAAGGAAGGUCUAACACCAAUCUUAUACAAAAUCUUGAAGAAAAUAGAGAAGGAAAAAAAUCUUUUCAAUUCAUUUUAUGAAGACAGCCUAUGUCUGAUAACCCAUAAAGACUUUUCAUCAAAGUACCAACCAAUAUCCCUCAUGAACAUAGAUUAAAAAAUUCUUAUGCAAAAUAGGAGCCACUGAAAUCUAGCAUUAGAUAAAAAAGAUAAUAAAUCAUGAACACUUGGUAUGAAUCUUGGGAAUACAAAGUUGGUUUAACAUUUGAAAAUCCAUCAACAUAUUUAACAGAAAAAUAACUGAAGAAAAAAAUUAACAGAGGCAGAACAAGCAUUUUUGGGGGACAAAAUUCAGUACCCAUUUAUGAUAAAAGCUUUUAGCAAACUGGGAAUAAAAGGGAACUUCCUCAAUCUGAUAAAGUUUCCAUGGAUAACAAAGCUCUGCAGAAAACAUCACACUUGAUGGUGAAAGACUGAAUGCUUCCCCCCUGAGAUCACACAGAAUGACGCCUUCUCU